This 494-nucleotide ribosomal RNA is filed under the name uncultured bacterium. Its description in RNAcentral is "partial 16S ribosomal RNA". It matches the Rfam family "Bacterial small subunit ribosomal RNA", at positions 28 to 523 of the family's 1533-position model. The record is from RNAcentral.
GAUGAACGCUGGCGGCGUGCUUAACACAUGCAAGUCGAACGGGAAUUACUUUAUUGAAACUUCGGUCGAUCUAAUUUAAUUCUAGUGGCGGACGGGUGAGUAACGCGUGGGUAACCUGCCUUGUACAGGGGGAUAACAGUCAGAAAUGACUGCUAAUACCGCAUAAGCGCACAGAGCUGCAUGGCUCAGUGUGAAAAACUCCGGUGGUAUAAGAUGGACCCGCGUUGGAUGAGCUAGUUGGUGAGGUAACGGCCCACCAAGGCGACGAUCCAUAGCCGGGAUGAGAGGGUGAACGGCCACAUUGGGACUGAGACACGGCCCAGACUCCUACGGGAGGCAGCAGUGGGGAAUAUUGCACAAUGGGGGAAACCCUGAUGCAGCGACGCCGCGUGAAGGAAGAAGUAUCUCGGUAUGUAAACUUCUAUCAGCAGGGAAGAAAAUGACGGUGCCUGACUAAGAAGCCCCGGCUAACUACGUGCCAGCCGCCGCAGUAA